GAUCCUCAGUAUGACGCUGCACCACGGCACGCUGUCACUGCAGAAGGCGCCGACUAAAACUCAAAUCCUGCUCGGGCUAUGGCGAAUUGCUGCUCCUAUGCUCUGCUACGUAGGGCAACGAUGCUCCUUCCGCUUGGGACUGGACAUGGACCUACUACGCAACCAUACAUAAGAAAUACCAAAUAACCACAAAAAAAAGCCUCAGAACACCCUGUAGGGCAACAAUGAGUGGGCACCAAGACCCCUCACGGACCUGCUACAUCUGCCCCUUCGCUGCACCUUCUCUGCUGGUUACCCACCUACACCGCGC
Scaptodrosophila lebanonensis is the source of this 310-nucleotide long non-coding RNA. RefSeq lists it as uncharacterized. The transcript has 3 exons. Lineage: Eukaryota; Metazoa; Arthropoda; Insecta; Diptera; Drosophilidae. The record is from RefSeq and is a predicted model, not a curated record.